GGUUGUGGCUCAGUGGUAGAGCAUGUGCCUAGCACGUGUAAGGCACUGGGUUCGAUCCCCAGCACCA
RNAcentral lists this transfer RNA (67 nucleotides) under Marmota marmota marmota (Alpine marmot). It matches the Rfam family "tRNA". Rfam says of the family: Transfer RNA (tRNA) molecules are approximately 80 nucleotides in length. The record is from Rfam by way of RNAcentral. RNAcentral also lists the same sequence under 1 other name. Lineage: Eukaryota; Metazoa; Chordata; Mammalia; Rodentia; Sciuridae.